Non-coding RNA from Lonchura striata (white-rumped munia), 563 nucleotides. NCBI's taxonomy places the organism in Eukaryota, Metazoa, Chordata, Aves, Passeriformes, Estrildidae. The record is from RefSeq and is a predicted model, not a curated record.
CAGGCUGGGGGUGAAGUUGUUAUUAUUAUUUGGUCAGUCUAUUGUUGAGAACAUCAAAGAAUUAAACAACAUGAACAUCUCAGCUUCUUGCUGACACUCAGAUGGGCAAGCUUUGGUGAUAAACUGGCCCAGACAAAAUAGAUGGGAAUGACUUUUGGAGAGCAUUUUCUUUGAAUUUGAACAAUUUGGUUAUUUUUCUUUGAAUUUGAACAACCACACCAAUAACAGAAAGUGGUUUCUUUGCUUCCCUUUCCUUCGUGCCUCCCCUUUAAAGUGUCUCUUCUCCACCAUUUUUUAUCCUGACAUAUAGGUGGGAAUGAAAUACCAUCCUGGGGACCCUCUCCUUGUCCUUUAAAUACCUCAGAGUCAAAACUGAUGAUUUCCUUGAGUCAGAGCUGGAAGAUCUGGGGAACAUGGAAUAUGAAAACACACAGCAUCAUGAAAAACCUGCUUAUUUUACACCUAGAAUUUGCUGCAGAAUCCAGUUUGCCAGUCCCUCUUGCAUACGCUUCUUGUAAAAACUCUUUGUAUGUUUGUUAUUACUAUUAAAACUCAUAGUUUUA